Onychomys torridus (southern grasshopper mouse) is the source of this 1575-nucleotide long non-coding RNA. RefSeq lists it as uncharacterized. The transcript is spliced from 3 exons. The record is from RefSeq and is a predicted model, not a curated record. Lineage: Eukaryota; Metazoa; Chordata; Mammalia; Rodentia; Cricetidae.
UUGCAGCUGCCUGGCCAGACCGAAAGACAGCGGAGAUUCAUUACCCGUCGACACAAUGACCAUUGAUGGCCCCGUGGCGUUAUUCAAAUCCAGUACCAAUUGCAGCCGAGCCCCUUUCUCCGCGCCAGGCCCGUAUUGUUGGAGCGGCCCACUAAAAGCCCGCCCCGGCCCCGAGCCACCAGAGGCGCCCGCUCGGGUUCAGCCCUGCGCCUCGCCAGCACGCCGGCUCCCGGUCAGGCUCCCUGGGAGCUGCAGGUGACCCGGCGGCGCAUUCCGGUGCUCCCCGCCGCCUGGGCUACCGCCACCCGCGACUCAGCCACAAGGAAGCAGAGAGCGCCCGAGCCGGGACCCUUGGCCACGAUGGAAAGAGACACGUUGGGGGCGAUGGGGAUGCCCGUUCAGGGCCGGGAUCUGCGUGCCCGCUCCUCCACCUUACCGCGGGAUGGGCUGCAGUUGAUGAGCUUCUGCGAGGUAUUCCGACGCGCAGCUCCCGAGAUCUGGUGUGCGCUUUUAAGGAGCCAGGCAGAACCCCGCAGGAGACCGGGGCCCUGAACUCAGGGGCUUCGCCACUGAUUGUCCAAACGCAAUUCUUGUACGAGUCUGCGGCCAACCGAGAAUUGUGGCUGGACAUCUGUGGUUGAGCUCCGGGCUCAACAGAAACGGGGUCCACAGAGAGGAGGUCCACGAUGGGAGACCCCGGGGCGGCGGCUGGCAGGUCCCAGCAAAAGCAUAGUGGCCCCAGACUGGCGCGCAAAGAAGGGACACUAGUCCUUGCGACCAGCGCCGCCAUCCUCAUCCUCAUCCUCUUCCUUCGUCUCCUCCUCUGCGGGUGACCUGUGUCGGCUGGCAGGGUCCUCCAGUUGAUCGCACUGGUUUUCCCCGUUUUCAAAUUUCAGCCGUAACGAAUCUGGCACACAGCGGCGGGACCGGAAUGUGGUUCGUGCAGCCGGUCCUUGGCCUGAGCCGCAGUUAUUCGGGGGUGAAGGCAGAUGCCAGCAAAAUUCGUUCAUUAACUCGUUUUGAAUUUGUUCUAACCUGUCCCCUAACCAGUACUCCCAAACAACAGCAACAAAAAAUCCGAAAUCAACCCGUAUACCCCAAUCAGCCAACCAACCCCUCCCACAAGCUCCUCUGGACCGACUGAUGGGCUGAGCCUCCCACCGCUGCCAGAAACCGAGAAGCUGGGGAAUGAUGCGCUCUAGCCGGGCAACCGCCUCGGUUUUGGAAAUAAGAACUUGGACAAACGAAUCCUCAUUAAAGAAAAAUCUUCAGAGGAGCGGGGCAUGCCUGUGAUGGUGCCAGAGGAAAAGGGACAGCCUGGGCUACACAGAGAGAGCUCCUACGUCAAUCAGUGAACGAAGCAACUAAUCAACCAGUGGAAAUGGGCAGCUACCUCUUGGGUCAGUCACAGGCAGGAACCAGAACAAAGAAGACGUCACUGCUAAGGUCCAGAAGAAGAAAUGAUUACUACUUAAGUGACACUUGCUGAGUAUUUCGUGAGUCACACGAGGAUGGGAUUGUGAGAAUGUGCGCAGUUCUGUGUCAAGCAAACUGUAUGAGGAAAUAAAGCACAAC